This 75-nucleotide transfer RNA is filed under the name Candidatus Naiadarchaeum limnaeum. Its description in RNAcentral is "tRNA-Val". It matches the Rfam family "tRNA". From Rfam's summary of the family: Transfer RNA (tRNA) molecules are approximately 80 nucleotides in length. Their secondary structure includes four short double-helical elements and three loops (D, anti-codon, and T loops). Lineage: Archaea; Nanobdellati; Candidatus Undinarchaeota; Candidatus Undinarchaeia; Candidatus Naiadarchaeales; Candidatus Naiadarchaeaceae. The record is from RNAcentral.
GGGCCCAUAGUCUAGCGGUAUGAUGCCACUCUCACACAGUGGAGGCCGCAGGUUCGAAUCCUGCUGGGCCCACCA